CGGCAGAGGAUUCUGCACUUCACAAAGCCACAGAACAAACCAGCCAAACGAUGUGUAAACAGACUCAGAGGGGCUGAGGGCUUGAUCCUGUAACACAAAGUAGAUCCAAAAAGAUUUCUGAAACUGUGAUAGCCAUACAUCUAUAGGGAAUCUGACUCUGGAAAGCCAGAUGCUCAUUAUCAACUCAAUAAUGGAGCUAGUCAUGGGAAGCUGUACUGGCAUGGACUGCUAUCUACCUCACUGGUACUAUAAUACGCCAAAAAAGAAAGAGGAGGAAGAUGACAGGUUGAUGAACAGCAUCUUGGAAGACUGUUAUUAAUAAUCCCACACAUGAAUAUUGAAUGGGAUCAUAUUUGGAUAUUGCAGUGCAUUAAUCACUAAUGUUAUUACAGCGGAGCAUUAGCAGCACCAGAAUUUUGCAUUAAACAGGGCUUGUGUUAUAUGUUAGUUUUAUUCUGGCUUAAAAAAUUUUUUUGGAGAUAAGCAAUCAAAAUUGUAAAUAUUCUUUCCUAAACUACAUUUGAGUGUCAAAUUCAGAGAUUCCAAAGAUAUAGUUUAAAACAUUUUUUUUUUCAUAUUUCAGAAUAGGAUGUCACCUUUUCUGGAACACUUAUAGAAGACAGUCAUGAAAAUUCCACAGAAAUUAAGAUUUAUUCUCUGAGUAAAUAAUUUUGCUGGGAAAAAGACACACAAACAAAAUGUAUGUUCAGAUACAUAUAGUAUUAGAUACUUUGCUUUCUCAGUGUAAUGAACCAGGGUCGCAAAACUCCAAGGAUCCCAAAGCCCUCAGCAGGGAUCAAAUCUAAAACCUUCAGCACCAAAAACUCAGGUCUCUACCACUGGAGCUCAUUUAGCAUUGAGACAGCACAUGUCUCUGGUGGCAGACCCAAAUGACUAUAAUAGCCUGCUACUUCAUUUACAACUAAAGGAGCUCAAAUAGUCAGGUGCUUGUACUUUUGAUGCUUAAGACCCUAAAUUCAAUCCCCAGUGAUGACUAUGGGUCAUUACAAUUAGUUAUCUCAAAAAUAUUAUUCUCCAAAGU
RNAcentral lists this long non-coding RNA (1042 nucleotides) under Gopherus agassizii (Agassiz's desert tortoise). Its description in RNAcentral is "lncRNA (ENSGAGG00000023517.1)". The record is from RNAcentral. Lineage: Eukaryota; Metazoa; Chordata; Testudines; Testudinidae.